GUAGCCGGUGGAGACAGCAGAUCGGUCGGCUGGCGUUUUAUAAUUACGAUGAGGCGAUGCCACCUUGUUUCGGUCAUCAAACUCACCUCGGUUACACUGGGAAUUAGGAAUUACGAUUACUGAAGUUGAUAACUGCGCUCUCAUUUAUUCAUCAUAUUCCCAUAAACAACGAGAGACUUGCAAGAUCUAUUGUAUACGAAUUAUCGACCCGCUGAAAAGACACUGACUGCUAACAUUUAUUUCGCGUAGGAGAAACAUACUUUCCACCGGGGAAAAAAAAAAAACAUGUUUACAAAGGUGAAAUUCUUUUGGCGUUAUAGUUGAAGUAGCCUUGCUGUAGGCUGAGCUGCCAGCCCCCCGUAAGACCACCCAAACCACUGAGCUGUUACCCAGACUAGACUGACGCACAAAUCGGGGAAGAACCACUAACUUAAAGAGGUCUGGCGCAGAUUAGCAAACCAUCCUUUAAAACAAGUUCAGCGUUUCAUUUUUUUGUCUGAUUAUUCAUGCACUUCGCGUACAUCUUAAUAUCAACUUUGAGAGAAGAAAAGUGUCCGAUAAACCGGACACCGGCACUUUAAAGGCGGCCCCGUGAGCGCAUGUGAAAUAGCCCGCAGAAAAGAGAAGAACUGACUGGGAGGAAUAUAAAGACAGUAUAAAGAUAUUUUGGUAACAGGUGGGGGCGCUCUAAUUACCCUUGGGGACAUGUGAUUCUGUACGUUCGUGUCAUGCUGUGCGACCUAUCACAUCAGCAAACUCCAAAACAAAGUCGCAUCACCUAUUUCAUCCAGUUUGGAGAUGAACUGCUCGUUGUGAACUGUCGUCAAGGUGCUGCCUGGCUAUUGUCGAGUCCAGCAACAGCCGAGUGUGUGCGGUUCUGGCUGCAGUGGAGCCUGUUUGUGUGCGUGCGUGACCCUGCCGGACUGCUGCUCAUCCAUUCAACGGCACAGCUCAUCUGAGGAGAGAUCUCAUGGAACGUGAGCUCAAACACAUUUCUUAGUCACCUCUAUCCCAGCCUCGCUCCUCUUCAGCAGUGUGUACAGGGUGUACCAGCAGGACUGAGGGCCUCAUAGUGCAAGCAGGAGAAGAAUACAUAUGAAUUUACAUGAAGAUUCACCCUUUUUGAAAAAUACUGUUACAAUUUUAGCUCAAUGCUUAAUUUUACCAAAUACAAGAUAUUAGGAAAUAUUCAAAUUCUGUAGAGUCUAAAUGAUGUUUCCUGUUUCUCCUCUAGACCUCAGUAGAAGUCUACAGCUUUCUGAGCAAAAGCCCGUGUCAUCAUUUAUCAUUUCUUUCCUCGGGUUCUUUAAACACAUGACACAGUUAAGAUUUGCCAAGACAUAAAACUAUAACACAUGAAAAAUUAUUUGCUCUGAGGUAGGCAAUAUAAAAACCUAGCUAAAUCUCUCAUGUUACCUCACAGCAAUUUAGUGCAACCAUUGACAGGCAAACUCCCUUUUUACAUUCCUGUUACUGCAUGUGUCAGAUGCCAAUAUGUGAUUUCCCUCCAAUAAAGGUCUCUGUGAGGAGCACUAAAGGCUUUGUGUGUGGUUCUG
Electrophorus electricus (electric eel) is the source of this 1556-nucleotide long non-coding RNA. The record is from Ensembl. Lineage: Eukaryota; Metazoa; Chordata; Actinopteri; Gymnotiformes; Gymnotidae.